RNAcentral lists this ribosomal RNA (383 nucleotides) under uncultured bacterium. RNAcentral describes it as "bacterial SSU rRNA". It matches the Rfam family "Bacterial small subunit ribosomal RNA", at positions 355 to 754 of the family's 1533-position model. The record is from RNAcentral.
CAGGGAAUAUUGCACAAUGGACGGAAGUCUGAUGCAGCGACGCCGCGUGGAUGACGAAGGCCUUCGGGUCGUAAAAUCCUUUUCGGGGGGAAGAGAGAGGACGGUACCCUCGGAAUAAGCGUCGGCUAACUACGUGCCAGCAGCCGCGGUAAUACGUAGGACGCGAGCGUUAUCCGGAUUUACUGGGCGUAAAGCGUCUGUAGGCGGUUGUGUAAGUUGGAUGUGAAAGCUCCGGGCUUAACUCGAAGAGACCAUUCAAUACUGCGCGACUAGAGGGCGUGAGAGGGGAGCAGAAUUUCCGGUGUGGCGAUAAAAUGCGAAGAUAUCGGGAGGAACACCAGUGGCGCAGGCGGCUCCCGGGUACGCACCUGACGCUGAGAGAC